RNAcentral lists this ribosomal RNA (253 nucleotides) under uncultured bacterium. RNAcentral's name for it is "partial 16S ribosomal RNA". It matches the Rfam family "Bacterial small subunit ribosomal RNA", at positions 524 to 776 of the family's 1533-position model. The record is from RNAcentral.
UACGUAGGGUGCGAGCGUUGUCCGGAAUUAUUGAGCGUAAAGAGCUUGUAGGUGGCUCGUCGCGUCGGGAGUGAAAACCCGCGGCUUAACCGCGGGCCUGCUUUCGAUACGGGCGGGCUAGAGUUCGGCAGGGGAGACUGGAAUUCCUGGUGUAGCGGUGGAAUGCGCAGAUAUCAGGAGGAACACCGGUGGCGAAGGCGGGUCUCUGGGCCGAUACUGACACUGAGAAGCGAAAGCGUGGGGAGCGAACAGG